This 449-nucleotide ribosomal RNA is filed under the name uncultured organism. RNAcentral's name for it is "partial 16S ribosomal RNA". It matches the Rfam family "Bacterial small subunit ribosomal RNA", at positions 332 to 797 of the family's 1533-position model. The record is from RNAcentral.
UACACUCCUACGGGAGGCAGCAGUGGGGAAUAUUGGACAAUGGGCGCAAGCCUGAUCCAGCCAUGCCGCGUGAGUGAUGAAGGCCCUAGGGUUGUAAAGCUCUUUCACCGGUGAAGAUAAUGACGGUAACCGGAGAAGAAGCCCCGGCUAACUUCGUGCCAGCAGCCGCGGUAAUACGAAGGGGGCUAGCGUUGUUCGGAUUUACUGGGCGUAAAGCGCACGUAGGCGGACUAUUAAGUCAGGGGUGAAAUCCCGGGGCUCAACCCCGGAACUGCCUUUGAUACUGGUAGUCUUGAGUUCGAGAGAGGUGAGUGGAAUUCCGAGUGUAGAGGUGAAAUUCGUAGAUAUCCGGAGGAACACCAGUGGCGAAGGCGGCUCACUGGCUCGAUACUGACGCUGAGGUGCGAAAGCGUGGGGAGCAAACAGGAUUAGAAACCCGAGUAGUCCCA